UUUCAGGUUGAAGAUCAGUUCGACAAGGCGGAGCAGGUGGUGAACUACAACAAAACACAUCUCCUUCUGAAGGAGUGUGAGGAGGUGGUCCUCUACAAAACAACCGACUCUCAGGGAGAAGAUCACACAGCUAAGUGUUCCACCAUCUGCCGUAAGAAGCUGCCUGAACCAGCAGGAACAGGU
Molecule: long non-coding RNA, 183 nt
Organism: Salarias fasciatus (jewelled blenny)
Lineage: Eukaryota; Metazoa; Chordata; Actinopteri; Blenniiformes; Blenniidae
Exons: 3
Source: RefSeq, a predicted model, not a curated record